RNAcentral lists this ribosomal RNA (2898 nucleotides) under Pseudomonas aeruginosa. RNAcentral's name for it is "23S ribosomal RNA". It matches the Rfam family "Bacterial large subunit ribosomal RNA". Lineage: Bacteria; Pseudomonadati; Pseudomonadota; Gammaproteobacteria; Pseudomonadales; Pseudomonadaceae. The record is from RNAcentral. RNAcentral also lists the same sequence under 4 other names.
GGUCAAGUUAUUAAGGGUGCAGGGCGGAUGCCUUGGCACUAGGAGCCGAUGAAGGACGUGAUAAGCUGCGAUAAGCUUCGGGGAGUUGCACGUAAACUUUGAUCCGAAGAUUUCCGAAUGAGGAAACUCACUUAGAGUAAUGUCUAAGUAUCAUUAAGUGAAUACAUAGCUUAAUGAGGGGAACUCAGGGAACUGAAACAUCUAAGUACCUGAAGGAAGAGAAAGAAAUUCGAUUCCGUAAGUAGCGGCGAGCGAACGCGGAUUAGCCCAAACCAAUAAAGUUUUCUUUAUUGGGGUUGCGGACAUAUCAUAACGAAGAGGUAUCGUAAUUGAAGAGGUUUGGAAAGACCCACCACAGAAGGUAAUAGUCCUGUAUGUUAAACGAGAAGACUUUAGAUAUGAUCCAGAGUACCACGGGACACGUGAAACCCUGUGGGAAGCAGGAGGGACCACCCUCCAAGGCUAAAUACUACCUAGUGACCGAUAGCGUAUAGUACCGUGAGGGAAAGGUGAAAAGAACCCCGGGAGGGGAGUGAAAUAGAACCUGAAACCCUGCACUUACAAGCUGUGGAAGCACAUUUCUUGUGUGACCGCGUACUUUUUGUAGAACGGGCCAACGAGUUACGUUAAGUAGCAAGGUUAAGCACUUAAGGUGCGGAGCCGUAGCGAAAGCGAGUUUUAACUGAGCGUUCAGUUACUUGACGUAGACCCGAAACCGGGCGACCUACCCAUGAGCAGGAUGAAGCGAAAGUAAAAUUUCGUGGAGGUCCGAACCCACGAGCGUUGAAAAGCUCGGGGAUGACUUGUGGGUAGCGGUGAAAUUCCAAUCGAGCCCGGAGAUAGCUGGUUCUCCCCGAAAUAGCUUUAGGGCUAGCCUCAAGGUGAGAGAUACGGAGGUAGAGCACUGAAUGUCCUAGGGGGUAUUGCACCUACCGAAGACUAUCAAACUCCGAAUGCCGUCAUCUUAUACUUGGGAGUCAGACUGUGGGUGAUAAGAUUCAUAGUCGAAAGGGCAACAGCCCAGAUCGUCAGCUAAGGUCCCUAAAUGUAAGUUAAGUGGUAAAGGAUGUGGGAUUGCACAGACAACCAGGAUGUUGGCUUAGAAGCAGCCACUCAUUCAAAGAGUGCGUAAUAGCUCACUGGUCGAGUGAUCCUGCGCCGAAGAUUUCCGGGGCUAAAACUUACUACCGAAGCUACGGCAUCAGUAAUGAUGGGUAGGGGAGCUUCCCAUACGGGUUGAAGCAUGACCGUAAGGACAUGUGGACAGUAUGGGAGUGAGAAUGUUGGCAUGAGUAGCGAGAUGUGGGUGAGAAUCCCACAGGCCGUAAACCCAAGGUUUCCAGGGGAAGGUUCGUCCGCCCUGGGUUAGUCGGGACCUAAGCUGAGGCCGAAAGGCGUAGGUGAUGGACAACAGGUUGAUAUUCCUGUACUACCGAUAACCGUUUGAGAGAAGGGAUGACACAGUAGGAUAAGCUAAGCACACUGUUGGUUAUGUGUGCCCAAGCAUUGAGGCAGUCAAAGUAGGCAAAUCCGCUUUGAUAAUGCUGGGAUGUGAUGGGGAGCGAAAUUUAGUAGCGAAGUAGCUGAUUUCACACUGUCAAGAAAAGUCUCUAUCGAGGUUAAAGGUACCCGUACCGCAAACCGACACAGGUGGGUGAGGAGAGUAUCCUAAGGCCAGCGAGAGAACUGUUGUUAAGGAACUCGGCAAAAUGACCCCGUAACUUAGGGAUAAGGGGUGCCACCAUCAGGUGGCCGCAGAGAAUAGGCCCAAGCGACUGUUUACCAAAAACAUAGGUUUCUGCUAAGUCGCAAGACGAUGUAUAGGAGCUGACGCCUGCCCGGUGCUGGAAGGUUAAGGGGAUCUGUUAGAGCAAUCGAAGCAGUGAACUUAAGCCCCAGUAAACGGCGGCCGUAACUAUAACGGUCCUAAGGUAGCGAAAUUCCUUGUCGGGUAAGUUCCGACCCGCACGAAAGGCGUAACGAUUUGGGCACUGUCUCAACAACAGACUCGGUGAAAUUGUAAUUCCGGUGAAGAUGCCGGAUACCUGCGACAGGACGGAAAGACCCCAUGGAGCUUUACUGUAGCUUGACAUUGGGUCUUGGUACUACAUGUACAGGAUAGGUGGGAGGCUUUGAAACCAGGACGCCAGUUUUGGCGGAGCCAUCCUUGGGAUACCACCCUUGUAGUACUGGGACUCUAACCAUAGGCCAUGAAUCUGGUCUUGGGACACUGUCAGGUGGGCAGUUUGACUGGGGCGGUCGCCUCCCAAAAGGUAACGGAGGCGCUCAAAGGUUCUCUCAGUACGGUCGGAAAUCGUACGUAGAGUGUAAAGGCAAAAGAGAGCUUGAUUGCAAGACAUACAGGUCGAGCAAGGAUGAAAAUCGGACUUAGUGAUCCGGUGGUUCUGCGUGGAAGGGCCAUCGCUCAACGGAUAAAAGCUACCCUGGGGAUAACAGGCUUAUCUCCCCCAAGAGUCCACAUCGACGGGGAGGUUUGGCACCUCGAUGUCGGCUCAUCACAUCCUGGGGCUGUAGUAGGUCCCAAGGGUUGGGCUGUUCGCCCAUUAAAGUGGUACGCGAGCUGGGUUCAGAACGUCGUGAGACAGUUCGGUCCCUAUCCGUCGCAGGCGUAGGAAAUUUGAGAAGACCUGUCCUUAGUACGAGAGGACCGGGAUGGACGUACCUCUGGUGUACCAGUUGUCCUGCCAAGGGCAUGGCUGGGUAGCUAUGUACGGAAUGGAUAAGCGCUGAAAGCAUCUAAGCGCGAAGCCAACUUCAAGAUAAGAUUUCCCACCGCAAGGGUAAGACCCCAGAAAGACUAUCUGGUUGAUAGGUCGAAGGUGUAAGUGCAGCAAUGUAUUUAGCUUAUCGAUACUAAUAGGUCGAGGACUUGACCAA